This is a non-coding RNA of Triticum aestivum (bread wheat), 126 nucleotides long. The record is from Rfam. Lineage: Eukaryota; Viridiplantae; Streptophyta; Magnoliopsida; Poales; Poaceae.
CUAAUACUCCCUCCGUCCGAAAAAGCUUGUCCAAGAAUUGUUCCUCAAAUGGAUGUAUCUCGCACUAACUUGGUGCAAGAUACAUAAAUUUGAAGGACAAGCUUUUCCUGAUAGAGGGAGUACAUA